UGGUGGGGUAACGGCUCACCAAGGCCACGAUGCAUAGCCGACCUGAGAGGGUGAUCGGCCACACUGGGACUGAGACACGGCCCAGACUCCCACGGGAGGCAGCAGUAGGGAAUCUUCGGCAAUGGACGAAAGUCUGACCGAGCAACGCCGCGUGAGUGAAGAAGGUUUUCGGAUCGUAAAACUCUGUUGUUAGAGAAGAACAAGGGUGAGAGUGGAAAGUUCACCCCUUGACGGUAUCUAACCAGAAAGCCACGGCUAACUACGUGCCAGCAGCCGCGGUAAUACGUAGGUGGCAAGCGUUGUCCGGAUUUAUUGGGCGUAAAGCGAGCGCAGGCGGUUCUUUAAGUCUGAUGUGGAAGCCCCCGGCUCAACCGGGGAGGGUCAUUGGAAACUGGAGGACUUGAGUGCAGAAGAGGAGAGUGGAAUUCCAUGUGUAGCGGUGAAAUGCGUAGAUAUAUGGAGGAACACCAGUGGCGAAGGCGGCUCUCUGGUCUGUAACUGACGCUGAGGCUCGAAAGCGUGGGGAGCAAACAGGAUUAGAUACCCUGGUAGUCCACGCCGUAAACGAUGAGUGCUAAGUGUUGGAGGGUUUCCGCCCUUCAGUGCUGCAGCUAA
RNAcentral lists this ribosomal RNA (615 nucleotides) under uncultured bacterium. Its description in RNAcentral is "bacterial SSU rRNA". It matches the Rfam family "Bacterial small subunit ribosomal RNA", at positions 250 to 855 of the family's 1533-position model. The record is from RNAcentral.